UGGUCAGUCACAGACGGCGGUUAUCGACAGAGACUGUUGCUGUGAUUGUGUGCGUGUUUGCCAAAAAGUGAAUUGCUUUGAUCAGUUGAAUUGCUUUGAUCAGAGUUCAUUCGCUUUGACCAAAGGCUGCCGACUGAGUCCCAACCCACCCCAACCCACCCCAACCCUCUUUGUCGCUGCUCCACCUUUUGUCUCUGACUUCUUUCACUCACUGUCCAUCUUGUGGUGUUGAUAAGACAAUCUGAUGUGUGGAUAAGACAAUCUGAUGUGUGGAUAAGACAAUCUGACUUGUGGAUAAGACAAUCUGACUUGUGGAUAAGACAAAAACCCUUUUUGGGCUGUGCAUUGAAAUAUAUCCCCUUGCAUCGGGGCCUGACUGUUGAGACUUUAUUACCUGUUGUGUGGAAUCCAAUUGAGAAAAGUGCAAGACACGAGCCAUGCCACGCAAAAGCAAGAAGGCGCAAGCUGCCAAGGUAAGCUGGCAACAGCGUAAAAACAACACAGACUCUGGAAGUGCAGAUAAACCAACAACUGCCAAAGAAUUGAUGGCCAUUGGACCUGAAAACUCUAUGGAGGUAAUGAUGUCCACAUCUCAUGAUCCUGUAACAUGUGUUUUGGCAUCCUACAGUCAAAAUCAUCCAAAGUAUGCUGAUUCCAGAAACAGUCAGUGUGCUGCAAACUCUGCUACAUUUCUAGCUUUCCUGCAGGAGAUAGAGAAUGUGACCAGUGCUCACCUGGACCUUGUUCUCGAUCGAGGCAAUGAGUUCUAUGUGGCUACUGUGGCUGUGCUGAAAGCAGAAGGACGGUACGAACAUCAUCACUUGGCAACCGAUGAAAUCCCAUCCAUUGUGAAUGGCUUGCACAAACAG
Molecule: long non-coding RNA, 869 nt
Organism: Syngnathus typhle (broad-nosed pipefish)
Lineage: Eukaryota; Metazoa; Chordata; Actinopteri; Syngnathiformes; Syngnathidae
Exons: 5
Source: RefSeq, a predicted model, not a curated record